Molecule: non-coding RNA, 184 nt
Organism: Podarcis muralis (Common wall lizard)
Lineage: Eukaryota; Metazoa; Chordata; Lepidosauria; Squamata; Lacertidae
Source: RefSeq, a predicted model, not a curated record
GGCAAUGCUGGCCGUAUCUCACCAAAAAUUGGAAAAGCUCUAGGAAGUACACCAGAUGCAUCUUCAGAGGAAGCUCUGAAUACUGAAGACAGAACAAUAUACACUGGAAACACAGCUAUGUCAACUUCUACAACUGUGGUUGACAAUCGUGCAUGCAACUUAUCAUCUAUCUGCCAAGACUCAG